CAGUCGCCGCGGUAAUACAGAGGGUGCGAGCGUUAAUCGGAUUUACUGAGCGUAAAGCGUGCGUAGGCGGCUUCUUAAGUCGGAUGUGAAAUCCCUGAGCUUAACUUAGGAAUUGCAUUCGAUACUGGGAAGCUAGAGUAUGGGAGAGGAUGGUAGAAUUCCAGGUGUAGCGGUGAAAUGCGUAGAGAUCUGGAGGAAUACCGAUGGCGAAGGCAGCCAUCUGGCCUAAUACUGACGCUGAGGUACGAAAGCAUGGGGAGCAAACAGGAUUAGAUACCCCUGUAGUCCCUGUCUCUUAUAC
This 301-nucleotide ribosomal RNA is filed under the name uncultured bacterium. RNAcentral's name for it is "partial 16S ribosomal RNA". It matches the Rfam family "Bacterial small subunit ribosomal RNA", at positions 509 to 807 of the family's 1533-position model. The record is from RNAcentral.